CCUACGGGGGGCAGCAGUGGGGGAUAUUGCACAAUGGGGGAAACCCUGAUGCAGCGACGCCGCGUGGGUGAAGAAGCGCCUCGGCGCGUAAAGCCCUGUCAGCAGGGAAGAAAAUGACGGUACCUGAAGAAGAAGCCCCGGCUAACUACGUGCCAGCAGCCGCGGUAAUACGUAGGGGGCAAGCGUUAUCCGGAUUUACUGGGUGUAAAGGGGGCGCAGACGGCGAUGCAAGCCAGGAGUGAAAGCCCGGGGCCCAACCCCGGGACUGCUCUUGGAACCGCGUGGCUAGGGUGCAGGAGGGGCAG
RNAcentral lists this ribosomal RNA (305 nucleotides) under uncultured bacterium. Its description in RNAcentral is "bacterial SSU rRNA". It matches the Rfam family "Bacterial small subunit ribosomal RNA", at positions 338 to 660 of the family's 1533-position model. The record is from RNAcentral.